This 467-nucleotide ribosomal RNA is filed under the name uncultured bacterium. RNAcentral describes it as "partial 16S ribosomal RNA". It matches the Rfam family "Bacterial small subunit ribosomal RNA", at positions 28 to 506 of the family's 1533-position model. The record is from RNAcentral.
GACGAACGCUGGCGGCGUGCUUAACACAUGCAAGUCGAACGGAAAGGCCCUGCUUUUGUGGGGUGCUCGAGUGGCGAACGGGUGAGUAACACGUGAGUAACCUGCCCUUGACUUUGGGAUAACUUCAGGAAACUGGGGCUAAUACCGGAUAGGAGCUCCUGCUGCAUGGUGGGGGUUGGAAAGUUUCGGCGGUUGGGGAUGGACUCGCGGCUUAUCAGCUUGUUGGUUGGGUAGUGGCUUACCAAGGCUUUGACGGGUAGCCGGCCUGAGAGGGUGACCGGCCACAGUGGGACUGAGAUACGGCCCAGACUCCUACGGGAGGCAGCAGUGGGGAAUAUUGCACAAUGGGCGGAAGCCUGAUGCAGCAACGCCGCGUGCGGGAUGACGGCCUUCGGGUUGUAAACCGCUUUCGCCUGUGACGAAGCGUGAGUGACGGUAAUGGGUAAAGAAGCACCGGCUAACUACGU